This 497-nucleotide ribosomal RNA is filed under the name uncultured bacterium. RNAcentral describes it as "partial 16S ribosomal RNA". It matches the Rfam family "Bacterial small subunit ribosomal RNA", at positions 28 to 507 of the family's 1533-position model. The record is from RNAcentral.
GAUGAACGCUGGCGGCGUGCCUAAUACAUGCAAGUCGAGCGAACAGACUAGGAGCUUGCUCCUCUGACGUUAGCGGCGGACGGGUGAGUAACACGUGGAUAACCUACCUAUAAGACUGGGAUAACUUCGGGACACCGGAGCUAAUACCGGAUAAUAUAUUGAACCGCAUGGUUCAAUAGUGAAAGACGGUUUUGCUGUCACUUAUAGAUGGUUCCGCGCCGCAUUAUCUAGUUGGUAAGGUAACGGCUUACCAAGGCAACGAUGCGUAGCCGACCUGAGAGGGUGAUCGGCCACACUGGAACUGAGACACGGUCCAGACUCCUACGGGAGGCAGCAGUAGGGAAUCGGCCGCAAUGGGCGAAAGCCUGACGGAGCAACGCCGCGUGAGUGAUGAAGGUCUUCGGAUCGUAAAACUCUGUUAUUAGGGAAGAACAAAUGUGUAAGUAACUAUGCACGUCUUGACGGUACCUAAUCAGAAAGCCACGGCUAACUACGUG